UUUUCUUUUAAUUGGACGAGAUA
This 23-nucleotide microRNA is filed under the name Gossypium raimondii (Peruvian cotton). Its description in RNAcentral is "gra-miR8787". The record is from miRBase by way of RNAcentral. Lineage: Eukaryota; Viridiplantae; Streptophyta; Magnoliopsida; Malvales; Malvaceae.